RNAcentral lists this ribosomal RNA (478 nucleotides) under uncultured bacterium. Its description in RNAcentral is "partial 16S ribosomal RNA". It matches the Rfam family "Bacterial small subunit ribosomal RNA", at positions 28 to 523 of the family's 1533-position model. The record is from RNAcentral.
GACGAACGCUGGCGGCGUGCUUAACACAUGCAAGUCGAACGGUAAGGCCCUUCGGGGUACACGAGUGGCGAACGGGUGAGUAACACGUGGGUGAUCUGCCCUGCACUUCGGGAUAAGCCUGGGAAACUGGGUCUAAUACCGGAUAGGACCACUGCCUGCAUGGGUGGUGGUGGAAAGCUUGUGCGGUGUGGGAUGGGCCCGCGGCCUAUCAGCUUGUUGGUGGGGUGAUGGCCUACCAAGGCGGCGACGGGUAGCCGGCCUGGGAGGGUGACCGACAACAAUGGGACGGAGAGACGGCCGAAGCUCCUACAGGAGGCAGCAGUGGGGAAUAUUGCACAAUGGGCGCAAGCCUGAUGCAGCGACGCCGCGUGAGGGAUGACGGCCUUCGGGUUGUAAACCUCUUUCAGCAUCGACGAAGAGAAAGGGACGAUAGGUGCAGAAGAAGGACCGGCCAACUACGUGCCAGCCGCCGCCGUAA